UACGUAGGGCCCGAGCAUUAUCCGGAAUUAUUGGGCGUAAAGAGCGUGUAGGUUUCUUUACAAGUCGGUCGUUAAAUCUCAGAGCUCAACUCUGAGACCGCGAGCGAUACUGUAGGGAUAGAGGUUUGCAGGGGCUAGCAGAAUUUCUGGAGUAGGGGUGAAAUCCGUUGAUACCAGAAGGAAUACCAAUGGCGAAGGCAGCUAGCUGGGCAAUACCUGACACUGAGACGCGAAAGCGUGGGGAGCAAACGGG
RNAcentral lists this ribosomal RNA (253 nucleotides) under uncultured bacterium. RNAcentral describes it as "partial 16S ribosomal RNA". It matches the Rfam family "Bacterial small subunit ribosomal RNA", at positions 524 to 776 of the family's 1533-position model. The record is from RNAcentral.